This is a long non-coding RNA of Liolophura sinensis, 832 nucleotides long. RefSeq lists it as uncharacterized. The transcript has 3 exons. NCBI's taxonomy places the organism in Eukaryota, Metazoa, Mollusca, Polyplacophora, Chitonida, Chitonidae. The record is from RefSeq and is a predicted model, not a curated record.
AACCGAAGGAGAUAAAGUAAACUGACUUCUGUACAAACCGGGUGCUUUAUAUCCCAGUGUUUAACCGAAGGAGAUACGGUGGGAGAAAAUGACGACGACCGUCAAGUUCGCAUCGAUGUCGCUAUUUAUUCUGCUAACCCUUCCCCUGGCACGUGUGGAAUCAACAACUACAGCAGUCGAGGAAUCAACCACAACUACAACUGCGGACCUAACAACUACAACAACAGUGCUACCAACUACAGCAGCCUACCUAUCAACUACGGCAGCGGAACCAACAACGACCCCACCGCAGGCACCAACAACGACCACACUGGAAGCACUAACGACGACCCCGCCGGAGGGGACUGUAAAGAGGGCUCCAACAACGACCCCAGGGCAGGCACUAACAACGACUCCAACGGAGCCACCACCAACGACCCCAACAGAGGCACCAACAACGACCCCAACGGAGAGGACUGUGGAGCGGGCUCCAACACCUGCAUCACGGACUCAAACAACUAUCAACAGUCCAUUGUAUACUACAGUCACUAGAGGUAGGCCGCACAGUCUAGAACAUUGUCGAUGAAAAUUUUUUUGUGAUUAUGUUUGUUGCUUUAUUCAUGUUUCAUGCUAUAUUUUGUUAUCAGGGGGCCUAUAGGGUAUAGUGGUGAGCGUGCUAGUACAGCUCAAUAGCACAAGGCCCUCUCGCCAAGUUUGUUGCCGUGAGUUAAAGUCCAGCUCAAUCUGGCUUCUUCUCAGGUCGUUUGUGGGAAGGUCUUUCAGCAACCUGCGGAUGGUUACGGGUUUCCCCUGUGGUCUACCUGGUUUCCUACCACCAUAAUGAUGACCACCG